UGGGGAAUAUUGCACAAUGGGCGCAAGCCUGAUGCAGCAACGCCGCGUGAGGGAUGACGGCCUUCGGGUUGUAAACCUCUUUUAGUCAGGAAGAAGCCUGUUUGGGUGACGGUACUGGCAGAAAAAGCACCGGCUAACUACGUGCCAGCAGCCGCGGUAAUACGUAGGGUGCAAGCGUUGUCCGGAAUUAUUGGGCGUAAAGAGCUCGUAGGCGGCUUGUCGCGUCUGUCGUGAAAUCCUCAGGCUCAACCUGAGGCUUGCGGUGGGUACGGGCAGGCUAGAGUGCGGUAGGGGAGAUUGGAAUUCCUGGUGUAGCGGUGGAAUGCGCAGAUAUCAGGAGGAACACCGAUGGCGAAGGCAGAUCUCUGGGCCGUAACUGACGCUGAGGAGCGAAAGCAUGGGGAGCGAACAGG
Molecule: ribosomal RNA, 413 nt
Filed under: uncultured bacterium
Lineage: Bacteria
Description: bacterial SSU rRNA
Rfam family: Bacterial small subunit ribosomal RNA
Source: RNAcentral